RNAcentral lists this non-coding RNA (25 nucleotides) under Cricetulus griseus (Chinese hamster). The record is from RNAcentral. Lineage: Eukaryota; Metazoa; Chordata; Mammalia; Rodentia; Cricetidae.
GCCUGCAAUGGUACUGUGAUCGAAC